ACACACACACACACACACACAGGGUGAGAUGGUCUGUCAUAAAAUACUGCAUUGAGGUGUCGAGUGACUGUUUCAAGCAACCUAGAUUUCUUGACCAGCCAUUGGACGAUUGGUUCAAAUUUUGCAUAAUGAAAAAAGGGCAAUUAAAGGGCCUAUUGUACAAAAUUCUCCCUACUCCAUGAGGAUUUUAAUUAUUCAUUCAUCCAUAUGAAGUAGUACGUGUGUGGUAAAAGUUAAUAUUAUUUUACUUUGUACCCGCGUGGUUGAAACAAAUUUUCAUCGACUAAUAAUGCUUUCAUGCUUCCAGGUG
RNAcentral lists this unclassified non-coding RNA (310 nucleotides) under Hevea brasiliensis (rubber tree). Lineage: Eukaryota; Viridiplantae; Streptophyta; Magnoliopsida; Malpighiales; Euphorbiaceae. The record is from RNAcentral.